UUUCCGUAGGUGAACCUGCGGAAGGAUCAUUAUUGAAUAAACCUGAUGUGGCUGUUAGCUGGCUUUUCGAAGCAUGUGCUCGUCCGUCAUCUUUAUCUCUCCACCUGUGCACAUUUUGUAGUCUUGGAUACCUCUCGAGGCAACUCGGAUUUUAGGGUCGCUGUGCUGUACAGGUCGGCUUUCCUUUCAUUUCCAAGACUAUGUUUUUAUAUACACCAAAGUAUGUUUAAAGAAUGUCAUCAAUAGGAACUUGUUUCCUAUAUAAUUAUACAACUUUCAGCAACGGAUCUCUUGGCUCUC
This 300-nucleotide unclassified non-coding RNA is filed under the name plant metagenome. RNAcentral describes it as "partial contains small subunit ribosomal RNA, internal transcribed spacer 1, and 5.8S ribosomal RNA". The record is from RNAcentral.